This is a non-coding RNA of Odocoileus virginianus texanus, 1279 nucleotides long. Lineage: Eukaryota; Metazoa; Chordata; Mammalia; Artiodactyla; Cervidae. The record is from RefSeq and is a predicted model, not a curated record.
UUCUUCCGUGUCUUAGUUCUGUCAUUAACCAGCUGUAGGGCACCGACAUUUCGAAUCCUCCCUUUUGGGAGGAUUCCUCAGAAAAACGAGUCGAUUACUCUGUGGUUAUCAGUGUCCCUUCCAGCUCCAGCAUUCUGCACCACAUUUAUGCAGUGUUGACUGAGUUCUAAUGAUUUGUUCACUCAGCAAAUGUUCAUCGAGCAACUGCUACCUGCGAGAUACCCUGGAGAGCAGGUGGUCAGCAAGCAGACUUCCUCUACUAGACAAGUGGCGGCAUGCAGCAUCCUUUAUCAGAAGGAAAGGGCCCCUCCUUGGCAUUGCCAAUCUCCUCGCUGUGUCCUUGGACAGUGCCCAGAUUGCCCCGAGGCUGAGUCCUCAUUUGUUACAAGGUUGCGGUAAGGCCUGCCUUUUCAAGUUGUGAAGAUUAAGUUCUACAAGAGCUUACCCAAUAAUACAGAAUGGAACGCAUGUUCCUUGCCUUACUAUCCCUACUAGGCAACAGCUACCGAAAGCUGCUCUCCCCGGGGCAAAACCUUGAAGUUGCCUGGAGAAGAGGAAAGUGAUCAUACGGAUUUGUUUUUAGGACGGUGGCAGAGGACAAAUGUGUGAAAGACUAAGGUUUGUUUGGCAGUAUGAAGAGGGCCUGUUCCCCCACAGCUUUUCCAACAGAGAACAUAGUCCAGCUUUGAACCAGAACCAAUAUGACAGUAGACAGAUGACAAUUCUCAAUGUCCUGGCUGAAAGGGUUCUUGAUGGCAAGGAUCUGGAAGAAAAAAAGCAUGAGGAUUUGAGAUGAGUUAAUGAUGCAGACGGAUGGUAUGUUUAAUAGGAGAGUGGAAAGAAUCCAGUUAAGUUAGAGGCAAAGAAACCAGAGUUCAGACUGCACAUCUGCCCUUCACUAGCCAUGGGAUCCUGACAAAAUUACAAUAUUUAAUCCUCUCCAAAGAGUAGCUUCCUCAUCUGUAAAAGGGCAGUGACAUCCCUGUAUCUCUCUCAUGUAUCCUGUGAGAAUUAAGUGGAAUAAAGGACGUAACUCGUCUCACACACAGGGCUCUCUCAGCUCUCUCUUUGGAUCCACUAUGGUGCUACGGACAAGCAGCAAGAGCAACAUCAGGGAAGUGGGUCACAGGGCUUCUCACAUCUUCAGAAGGAUGUGGUUUGUCUUCAAUGUGAUGCGAUCUCUAUGGAUUAUUUUCACUCACAAAAACUAAAAGAUGUGCUUGCUGCUGCUAAGUCACUUCAGUCGUGUCCAAUUCUGUGCGACCCCAUAGACGGCAGC